This 497-nucleotide ribosomal RNA is filed under the name uncultured bacterium. RNAcentral's name for it is "partial 16S ribosomal RNA". It matches the Rfam family "Bacterial small subunit ribosomal RNA", at positions 28 to 507 of the family's 1533-position model. The record is from RNAcentral.
GAUGAACGCUGGCGGCGUGCCUAAUACAUGCAAGUCGAACGAACGGGCCAUAAGUUUGUUUGUUGGUCGUUAGGGGCGGGGGGGGGGGAAACGCGUGUAAACCGUCCUUAAAUUAUGGGUAAAAUUCGGGAAAACGGGAUCAAACCCGGGAUAAACUUUUGAACCGCAGGGUUCAAAGGUAAAAGACGGCGUUGCGGUAAUUACUAGAGGCUUCCCCGCUGCAUUGGCUAGUAGUUAAGUUAACGGCUUUCGAAGGCAAGGAUGGAUAUCCGACCUGAGGGGGUGGUCGGCCACAUGGGAACUGAGACACGGUCCAGACUCCUACGGGAGGCAGCAGUAGGGAAUCUUACGCAAUGGGCGAAAGCCUGACGCAGCAGCGCCGCGUGAGUGAUGGAGGUCUUCGGAUCGUAAAGCUCUGUUAUUAGGGAAGAACAUAUGUGUAAGUAACUGUGCACAUAUUGACGGUACCUGGUCAGAAAGCAACGGCUAACUACGUG